Long non-coding RNA from Sinocyclocheilus anshuiensis, 969 nucleotides. NCBI's taxonomy places the organism in Eukaryota, Metazoa, Chordata, Actinopteri, Cypriniformes, Cyprinidae. The record is from Ensembl.
ACAACUAGACAAUAUACAAAUAAAACAAGCAGUGCUUUAUUUUUCAGGUUCAGUCGGUGUAUUUAGCAAUAGCAGUCAAGAAACCGAAUGAACCAAUAUAAAAAUACAAUAAACACUUCACUGGAUAAAUGCAUUGAUUCUUAUUAAAGCAAUUAUAUUCGUUUUUUUUUUCUUUGCCUUUUGUAUUAACAUUUAAAGGGAUACUAUCAAAGUCAAUGGGGACCAGCAACUGUAAUGAAAUGUUAACUCGGCGGUAGAUUUACAUGUGACCGGGUCGUGUUGUACAGUAUGCUGAGACGGAGACGCCAGAACUGCAACUGAUGGAAUGUGCGCUGUAGCAGGAUAAUACAAUAUUUCUUCAAAAACAGAUUGUGGUGACAUUUUAAUCAUCCACGAUCAAAAAUCCUUAUCGCACACUCCUAAUCUUCCACCUAUGGUUUAGGCCUGAAUUAUGGUCUACCACACCCAAGAAGUAACGGCAGCAUUUGUGUGCUGAGUGUGAAUAGUCAUCCAGUGCUACUGUGAUGACUUUUGAAUUCUCUCUUCCUGAAUUGCUUUGAUGUAACUGUUCUAAACUGAGUAGCAUUGGACAUCUAGCGCACACACUGCCAAGCAUUUCUUUCUAGUUCUAGUCAUGUUUGUGAAUGCAGGCACUUACAAAAUGCAUUUGUUUUGCAGUUUCCAUGCAGGAUGCUGGGAUGAGUAGACAGAUCUUUUAAAUUCAAGGGCUCAUUCACAUGAACUUGGAGGGCAUGGUGACCAUAGAUGUUGUAUUGGUAGUGUUGGAACAAAAUGACCUUUUCACCAAGAACCUGCAACUCCCUAAGGACUGUUAUUUGUCCAAAACCAAGUGUGCCAAGUCCUUUGGUGGUACUAGGUAAGGUUACUUGCUCCCAUGUGCUGAUUAUUAACCCUCUGAAACUGAUGAUGAUUAUCUUUUGGAAUCUCGUUCGUCUGAAAUCCUGUUGA